UGGAGUCUAGUGGUCUCAGCAGGCAUC
This 27-nucleotide non-coding RNA is filed under the name Homo sapiens (human). Lineage: Eukaryota; Metazoa; Chordata; Mammalia; Primates; Hominidae. The record is from RNAcentral.